GCCUUUGUUGUGUAACGGUAACACACUCGGUGCGCAUUCAAGAGGUCCAGGUUCGAGUCCCGGCGGGCGCA
Stegodyphus mimosarum is the source of this 71-nucleotide non-coding RNA. The record is from Rfam. NCBI's taxonomy places the organism in Eukaryota, Metazoa, Arthropoda, Arachnida, Araneae, Eresidae.